Molecule: ribosomal RNA, 119 nt
Filed under: Aotus nancymaae (Ma's night monkey)
Lineage: Eukaryota; Metazoa; Chordata; Mammalia; Primates; Aotidae
Source: RNAcentral
CCUUGCAGCCACCAGGCACCAUAGCAUCCAGAAGGCACCCCAGCCUGGAAGCUAAGCAGGGUCAGGCCUAGCUGGGGAUUGAAUGGGAAAGCGCCUGGAAAGACCAGGGGCUGAAAGCU